UAAGCCAUGCGAGUCGAGAGGGUUCGGCCCUCGGCGUACUGCUCAGUAACACGUGGAUAACCUGCCCUAGGGAAGGGGAUAAUCCCGGGAAACUGGGGAUAAUACCCUAUAGGUUACAGAUGCUGGAAUGCUCUGUAAUCAAAAGUUCCGGCGCCCUAGGAUGGAUCUGCGGCCGAUUAGGUUGUUGUUGGGGUAAUGGCCCAACAAGCCAGUAAUCGGUACGGGUUGUGGGAGCAAGAGCCCGGAGUUGGAUUCUGAGACACGAAUCCAGGCCCUACGGGGCGCAGCAGGCGCGAAAACUUUACAAUGCGGGCAACCGUGAUAAGGGAACCUCGAGUGCCUGUAAAUGCAGGCUGUUCAGAUGCCUAAAACACAUCUGGAGAAAGGGCCGGGCAAGACCGGUGCCAGCCGCCGCGGUAACACCGGCGGCCCGAGUGGUGACCGUUAUUAUUGGGUCUAAAGGGUCCGUAGCCGGUUUGGUCAGUCCUCCGGGAAAUCUGAUAGCUUAACUGUUAGGCUUUCGGGGGAUACUGCCAGGCUUGGAACCGGGAGAGGUAAGAGGUACUACAGGGGUAGGAGUGAAAUCUUGUAAUCCCUGUGAGACCACCUGUGGCGAAGGCGUCUUACCAGAACGGGUUCGACGGUGAGGGACGAAAGCUGGGGGCACGAACCGGAUUAGAUACCCGGGUAGUCCCAGCCGUAAACUAUGCUCGCUAGGUGUCAGGCAUGGCGCGACCGUGUCUGGUGCCGCAGGGAAGCCGUGAAGCGAGCCACCUGGGAAGUACGGCCGCAAGGCUGAAACUUAAAGGAAUUGGCGGGGGAGCACAACAACGGGUGGAGCCUGCGGUUUAAUUGGACUCAACGCCGGACAACUCACCGGGGACGACAGCAAUAUGUAGGCCAGGCUGAAGACCUUGCCUGAAUCGCUGAGAGGAGGUGCUUGGCCGUCGCCAGUUCGUACUGUGAAGCAUCCUGUUAAGUCAGGCAACGAGCGAGACCCA
This 1001-nucleotide ribosomal RNA is filed under the name uncultured archaeon. Its description in RNAcentral is "partial 16S ribosomal RNA". It matches the Rfam family "Archaeal small subunit ribosomal RNA", at positions 45 to 1054 of the family's 1478-position model. The record is from RNAcentral.